AUAAGAUUAAAAAGACUGACAAAAGACAAUCUUCAAACGAGCAACAAAUCUCAGUAGGCAGUCAGUAGUCUAAUGUGCACAUAUCUGAUUAUCAAUUAGCCAGUUCUUAAGCUGACCAGUAAAAGAACGAUAAGUAUUUGCUUCUCUUAUCAGCAUUGGCAAUAGAUUCCAUUGUUUAGAUGCUGUUAAAGAGAACGCUGACUGACUAAAAGCACUUUUCCGAGUGGGAAAAUAUUGGCAUUCAUAUAUAUCAUAGCAGUUUCAAAGCUGAGUGAUUCCCUAACAAAUCUGAAAUUACUUAAAUUAAAUCUAACUCGUUUGCACAUACUUUUCACAUGAGUUCUAAAAGAGAGAUACUUGAGCAAAGCAACCAAACUUUGACAGUUUAAUUGUAUGAAAAACCUGAAGAUACAAAACAAAAACGUUUGGGAAGCAGUUAGAAGGCACAUGGACUUGUCAUCGACUUGUCAUUACAUCUCUGUAAAAACCUACGUAAGCCUAGGGAUUCUUCAAACAGACAGCUGCAUAGCAUCAAGCUGUUGUACAAAGAAGGCUCCUACUGUGUGGUUCAAAACCAACAUCCAUCACAUGGCUGAACACAGUUUUGUACGUGUGCUUGUGAUUAAGUACAUGGUCCCAUCUGUGAAUCUGUUGUUGCAGUGGCUUCUACAAAGAUAAUGAUAAAACCAUUUAGUAUUUUAGUAGGUUGCCUCUAGCAAGGUGGUUAAAAAGCAAAUAAAAUAAUGCCUCAGAGGAAAAAUGAAUCCUCAAACAGUGGAGAUGAAACAAAGGUAUCCAGUUGAACAAAAAUAUCCACAAACAAAUGAGAGACCCAUCUACGUAUGUGGAUUCAUGAAAACAGACAGCCUCAUUCAUUUGAAAGAUGCUUCACUGUCACGAAAUACAAAAAAUGCUAGUGUACCAAAAAUAAAUAGUGUGACAGCAACAGCAAGGAGUUCAAAGGUGUAAUAAUAAGAACACUUAAAUGUGAAGUAACCAGUGAAGACGCAGUUUGUGGCAGAUGUGGAAAACUACUGAUCUAAGUGGGCAGCAACAAUAGGGGAUGAGUCAGUGUCUACACACAAACCUAACCCUUGUUUCAUGAGCAAUGCCAUCACUAGUAAACUUACCAAUCCACUCGUCCACCCAGGCAAAGGCCUGCCGGUGUCCUAAAAGCAGGACAUCACGAAUCACCUAAGCAGAAAAAAAGAGAGGAAAAAGAGAAGAGAUCCCAGAGGAAAGAAAGGUAAAGAGGGACAGAAGCAAGGAGGAAAUUCAAGGAGAGAGGAUGUGAAUCAGAAUGAGUUAACUCUGAAGGCCAAAGAGAGUAUCAAAACAUUUUUAUGUUGUAAAUGUUUCCGUUCACCCCCGGAGGAAUGUGAUUAAAAUGAGUCACUCCCAGUCUUAUGUGAGUAAUGGCCCUGCCUGUGUGUGUGCGCCUUGGGCAAGGAGAGGACAGGGACAGUUCACCCCAGGGACAGAUGUGGUAAAGCGAAAUGGAUUUGGGAAAUGGGAGAUAUGAAGUUUAAACUGUUCAGCCAGGGUAAAGGGAGGUGGUGCAAGGCAAUCUACAGGAUGUGAAUAGGGCAUCUGAUUUGGUUCACAGCCAACUGGUCAUGUGUUACAUGUUUUCGGAACAGAAAAUGUGCCUCUGGCACUGGCGCCGGUCCACAUGGGUCAGAAAGUUUGAGUGAGUAAGGAAAGGGUAUUUCUGAGAGGGCAUCCACAACAACUCCCCACAAAAAGAAAAUUCACACAAGAACUUUUUGAUCCUGACCUUGUGUACAAACUGCUCCACACGCGUUUGCAGGCCCCAGACUUCAAACUUGACUGUGACAAGUUUGUAGGAGCACAUGAUGGGGUCUUGGUUGUUGAUCCAUCCUUCCUGCAGGACGCCUCGGUUAGUCUUCUUUGACUUAAAAUACCGCAGGUCCUACAAGGUCACGAGACACCGAAAUCAGAAAAAAAAAAUCCUAUGUCAUUAUUUCUGCAUGAACAUGUCUGCAAAAAGACAAGACCAUAAAUCCUCUUAAAGGAUUACUUAACUGUUUUUCAACCAAUACCUAAUUAAAAUGUUGUCCCAUCAUUUAUCUCUCACACAUACACACAUACAUCCUGUUCCUAUAUGACAGGAUCACCUGCAUUCAUUACGAGACUCAUGCAGAGCAACAGCCAGGCUUCACAGCGUGAGCACCCAACCACAAACGUUUACAUGCAUCAGUCACUGCUCCCUAUAGACUAAUUAUGCUGUGGUAAUCAUUUGUUUUAGGGUCAUGCGUCUGGCUGUGAGUGUGUGCCGGGGUGAUACAAAACUCUCUACAUCCCAGCUGGGAAAGCACCUGCAGUGGAGGGCUGUUGCAUUUGUCCGCACAUAAAAUGUGCCAUAAAGUUUAUUGGCAGGAAAUGUGGGAAAAGAUGAGAAAUGCUCAAGAGAGCGUGUCCUUUUUAAAAUAUUGUCAGCAUGCCAACUUAUAUUUUACUUUGAUGGCUUCCAGAUUUGCUGAACCAUUUUCUCUGGAAUUAAUAUACUGGUGUUAAAAGUGAUAUUUCACUGUGAAAGAGCCUUUACAAAUAAAUACUGCAGUGUACCAGUGUAAAAACACACAAACAACCGGCUACAGUAACUUCUGACAUUCAUUAAAACAUGUUGUUUUUACAUUGCAGUUUUUGUACGAUUAAACAUACAAGAUAUAUGUUUAGUCUGUGAGCUUUAAACAUGCCACUAUAUAUAAUUUCUUUCCUUGGACAGAGCCAGACUGUUUUCCUCUGUUUCCAGUGUUUUUACUAAGCUAAGCCAACCAGCUGCUGGCUGUAUCUUCAUAUUUAGUGCACAGACAUGAGAGUGAUAUUGAUCUAGUCAAGUCAAUUUUAUUUAUAUAGCCCAAUAUCACAAAUCAGCCUCAAGGGGCUUUACAAUCUGUACCGCAUACGAGCCCAUCUAAUCCUUAAACCCCCGAUUAAGAUAAGGAACCCCCCCCCCCCAACAAACCUUUUAACAGGGAAAACAUGGAAGAAACCACAGAAAGACCAACAGAGGAGGGAUCCCUCUCCCAGGAUGGAUAUGUAUCAUGAUGACAAAGCUAUGACAAGAUUGUAACAUAUAUGAAUAAUGGUUCUGGGAAGAUAUCGAGCAUUUUCAGGUGUCGCCAAACAGAUGGGAUAUACUCAUCUACCUCUGGAAAUAAAAUUGUUCCCAAAAUGUGGAGCUAUUAUGCUGAUAUUGAUCAACAGAUGUCUUUCCUUUUUUUAAUUUGUAAAACACUUUGAGCUGUGUUUUGUGCACAAAAGGUCCUAAAUGAAUAAAAUUCAUGAUAUAAUUUUUAUUUACUUCUAUUUUUUCAUAAAUGAGUCAGUAAAGAGUAUGUUUGCAACCAUUGUCUUUUUGAGGUGUUGGACCUCGCUGUUAACUGUGGUUCAUUCAUGUAUGACACUGGUCUCUGUGCUGCAGGUAUGACUCUGGUGUAUGCAAAACCCAUUUGUCUUCUUCAUCAAUGAUAUUUACAUCGAUCACAUGACAUCCACCUUUAGCUCUGAGUGGAUGAAAGCGGAAGAUCAUAAAGCCUGGUGGGACGUGUGUAUAUUAGUGUGUGUGUGAGUGUAAGUGGAGGUGUCAAUAAUAAAACACCACUGCAAUGA
Micropterus dolomieu (smallmouth bass) is the source of this 3636-nucleotide long non-coding RNA. RefSeq lists it as uncharacterized. NCBI's taxonomy places the organism in Eukaryota, Metazoa, Chordata, Actinopteri, Centrarchiformes, Centrarchidae. The transcript is spliced from 2 exons. The record is from RefSeq and is a predicted model, not a curated record.